This 328-nucleotide ribosomal RNA is filed under the name uncultured bacterium. RNAcentral describes it as "bacterial SSU rRNA". It matches the Rfam family "Bacterial small subunit ribosomal RNA", at positions 32 to 373 of the family's 1533-position model. The record is from RNAcentral.
AAUCAACGCUGGCGGCGCGCCUAACACAUGCAAGUCGAACGAGAAAGUCCGCAAGGAUGAGUAAAGUGGCGUACGGGUGAGUAACACGUGGAUCAUCUGCCCUCUUGUGGGAUACCGCUGGGAACCGGCGACAAUACCGCAUAAGCUCGAGAGAGGAAAGACCGAAAGGCGCAGGAGGAGGAGUCCGCGGUCGAUUAGUUAGUUGGCAGGGUAAAGACCUACCAAGACUGUGAUCGAUAGCCGGCCUGAGAGGGCGACACGGCCACACUGGCACUGAAACACGGGCCAGACUCCUACGGGAGGCAGCAGUGGGGAAUCUUGCACAAGU